UAGCUUUAAGAUUUCAUUUAAAGUUUUACCUGCCCGGUGGAAUUUCUUAACGGCCGCAGUACUUUGACUGUGCUAAGGUAGCAUAAUAAAUUGGCUUUUAAUUAAAGUCGGGUAUGAAAGGGAAUUUGGAAAAUAACUGUCUCAAAUAUACUUUAUUUUAAUUUAAUUAAUGAGUGAAAAUUCUCAUAUUUUAUUACAUUAGACGAGAAGACCCUAAGAGUUAUAAUUAAAAUGAAUUUAUUUCAUAUAUCAUUUUUGUUGGGGCAACAAAGACUGGAUAGAACCGUCAAAAAGUAAUUUUACAUAACCAAUAAUAUUUAAAAAGAAAUAAACUACCUUAGGGAUAACAGCAUAAUUAAUUUUUAGAUUGUGACCUCGAUGUUGGAUUAAGGACUUAGUUUACUAGCCGUAAACUAAGAUAGUUCUGUUCGAACUGUAGUACCUU
This 445-nucleotide ribosomal RNA is filed under the name Vertigo alpestris. RNAcentral's name for it is "partial 16S ribosomal RNA". Lineage: Eukaryota; Metazoa; Mollusca; Gastropoda; Stylommatophora; Vertiginidae. The record is from RNAcentral.